GUAGAACGGAGUCCAGCUGGGUAAGCAACAGGAGCAUUUCUAAACCUGCCACAAAGACAUCGUCUGGAGGGCUUCGCCUGCCAGAAAGCUGUGUGUUAUUUUGGAGGCCAGAGAUGAGAUGGCAGGCUCGGGAAACAUUGCUGAUGCGCAUGAAGUGGGCUUUGACUGAGCCUCCUUUUGAGAGAACUAUGAUCUGCACAUACGCUAAGAGUGUCCGGUGGGAGAGAUGACUUGAACCCGGUUCAUGACUCUUAGCGCUCUGUCAAAGAUGAGAAACUUUCACAUGUGUAUUUUGAUCACUUAAACAAAUACAGACUGAAUGGGGAAAAUGUCUUUGCAACUAAUGGGAUUGAAUGGUUGGACCAGAUGGCUUUCAUUAAUAUAGUUUUUAACAUUAACAAGCUAUGCAAGCACUUAUUAAUCCCAAUCAUGCUUUAUUUGUUUAUUUAUUAUGUCAUUAGUUUGAGGUUACAGUAGUCUGUGUGCUGUCUUACCAGGAUUUUGUUGGUCUUGUGACUGAAGGUACAAGUCAGCACAAAUAAAUGACUUGAUUUUGGAGAAGUUACUAGCAUUUAACAGAAGACAAGAAAUCUGACUCAAAGUAAAAUGAGCAUAUCUGUACAUUGUGUUCUUGUGGCUUUGCUGUUUAAAGAUUUACUGCGUGAACUCCUGGAUUACCUCAUGAUAGCGUUUAUCUCUCUAAUGAUGGUUAGUGAAUAAAUC
This is a long non-coding RNA of Oreochromis niloticus (Nile tilapia), 723 nucleotides long. RefSeq lists it as uncharacterized. The record is from RefSeq and is a predicted model, not a curated record. NCBI's taxonomy places the organism in Eukaryota, Metazoa, Chordata, Actinopteri, Cichliformes, Cichlidae. The transcript is spliced from 3 exons.